RNAcentral lists this ribosomal RNA (856 nucleotides) under uncultured bacterium. RNAcentral's name for it is "bacterial SSU rRNA". It matches the Rfam family "Bacterial small subunit ribosomal RNA", at positions 1 to 839 of the family's 1533-position model. The record is from RNAcentral.
CCCUUAGAGUUUGAUCCUGGCUCAGAAUCAACGCUGGCGGCGUGCCUCAGACAUGCAAGUCGAACGCGAAAGGUUCCUUCGGGAACCGAGUAGAGUGGCGCACGGGUGAGUAACACGUAGGUAAUUUGCCUUUGGGUGGGGAAUAACUCAGGGAAACUUGAGCUAAUACCGCAUAAUGCAGCGGCUCGACAUCGAGACAGUUGUUAAAGCGGGGGAUUCGCAAGAACCUCGCGCCUGAAGAGAAGCCUGCGGCAGAUUAGCUAGUUGGUAAGGUAAUGGCUUACCAAGGCGACGAUCUGUAACCGGCCUGAGAGGGCGGUCGGUCACACUGACACUGACAUACGGGUCAGACUCCUACGGGAGGCAGCAGUCGGGAAUUUUGGGCAAUGGGCGAAAGCCUGACCCAGCAACGCCGCGUGAAGGAUGAAAUUUUUCGGAAUGUAAACUUCGCAAGAACGGGAAGAAUAAGUAGAAGCUAAUACCUUCUAUGAUGACGGUACCGUUUGUAAGCUCCGGCUAACUCCGUGCCAGCAGCCGCGGUAAUACGGGGGGAGCAAGCGUUGUUCGGAUUUACUGGGCGUAAAGGGCGCGUAGGCGGUCGUGGCAAGUCACUUGUGAAAUCUCCGGGCUUAACUCGGAACGGUCAAGUGAUACUGUCGGACUAGAGUACAGAAGGGGCAACUGGAAUUCUCGGUGUAGCGGUGAAAUGCGUAGAUAUCGAGAGGAACACCUGCGGCGAAGCGGGUUGCUGGGCUGAUACUGACGCUGAGCGCGAAAGCCAGGGGAGCGAACGGGAUAGAUACCCCGGUAGUCCUGGCCUAAACGAUGAAUGCUUGGUGUCUCGGGUAUAAGUCCC